CACUCAAUAAUACAAGUAGCAUUCCCUUUUCCAAACUUUCCCUUCCUCUUCCAAAUACUUUACAUUUUCUCCGCUACCCAAAACUUCCUUUAAUUACUUAACACUCACUAUGAUCUUUAUUUAUUUUUAAGUCGCAUCUCUUAUUAUUUAUUUUUGUUGAAAUUAAAAAAAAACAAAUAAAAUUACCUUAUCCCAUUGUCCGUUUAACCGUAGCAUACUUUUUCAUUGUUUCAAGGCUUAACAAUUUUAAAAUCCAAUAUAAUGUAAUAAAACAAAUCCAAUUUUUAAAGAUUUUUUAUCUUCAAUAUAAAAUUAUUUUAGGAUAUUGAGAUGUAUUUAUAUUUUUUUUAUUGGGACAAAGAUAAACAAUAACCGAGUUAAAUGAAUAAACCCAUUACCAAAUCCUAGGUAGACAAGCCUUGCUUUAAAUUCUACAACCUACUACUUAUCCUUUUUCAAAUAUACCAACUCAACCAUAUUAAAUGGUUACCAUGUGUUUGAUUUAAAUACUGCUUCAUCCUAACAGUUGAAGAUGAACUUUAUUCAUUCGGCAAAAAUUUCUACGCUGCAAUCUGAUUGGUCUUUUGCCAGAGUUAUAUUUUUCUUUUCGACCACCGUGAUUUCCUUGAUUAAAUAUGGCGAGUCAUAGUUUUAUCUUCGUUCCCAAGGCACUAAUACUUAAAGAAUCUGAUCUUCACGGCUGGAAAAGCAAGAUCUGUAUCAGACAAUCUGCAUAAAUGGAUUUAGUCUCUCUCUGUUAGUUUUACAUACUUAAAAUCUGGUUGCACUUCAGAUGUGUGCUAAGCGGACAAACAUUCCAGUGUAUCGUAGACCUGGUUAUGAUUGAUAUUCAAAAUGUAAUGGACGCAUCUGCAUGUGUUGAUCAUUCAUGUCUUCCAUCACAUUGCAAAUGAAUUCACGUGUGAUAGGAAUAGAGAUGAUUUACACAGCUAGAGGAAGACAACAUUUGUUUGAUAUAGAGUAAGAGGAAGACAAUAUUUGUGUGAUAGGAACAAAGAUGAUAUAGACAACACGAAGAAGACAAUACUUUGUUUGAUAAGAACACAAAUGAUACAUACAGAAAUAGGAAGAUAACAUUUGUUUGAUAGAAACACACAUUAUAUAUACAACUAUAAGUUCGCAUUUUCA
Lathyrus oleraceus (garden pea) is the source of this 1149-nucleotide long non-coding RNA. RefSeq lists it as uncharacterized. Lineage: Eukaryota; Viridiplantae; Streptophyta; Magnoliopsida; Fabales; Fabaceae. The transcript is spliced from 4 exons. The record is from RefSeq and is a predicted model, not a curated record.